Molecule: long non-coding RNA, 1323 nt
Organism: Vollenhovia emeryi
Lineage: Eukaryota; Metazoa; Arthropoda; Insecta; Hymenoptera; Formicidae
Exons: 5
Source: RefSeq, a predicted model, not a curated record
GGCUCAGUUUUCGAGAUAUUUUACUGUCCAAGUUAAAAUAGGACACCCUGUAUAUUAAAUAUUGUUCAAGUGGUGAAUGUUCAUGAUAGACGCGCGACGUGGAUAAGAAGUGUUCGUCGGAGAAAUUCGUCACUCGCACGAUUAAAUUUCGAAACUUCGAAGCUUCGAAGAUUUCGAAGUUAACUUUGAACUUCGAAGCUUUGAAUCUUCGAAUAUCGAAGCCUUCGAAGGAAAUCACCAGCCCUAGUCGGAGGUGCAAGUUUAUCGUGAAAAAAUCAGUGAUAAAAGCCCAAACCAAUAAGCCUGAUCUAAGCACGGCAACUCAAGCAGGACACCCGAUGCUAUCCAAAAAGCCAAAGGCGAUGGACCAAGUCAAGCAGUGGUGUGGCUCGAUGAAAGACCAGGAUAAUGAACGAUUAGGUAUUGCUGCUGCUGCUGCACUGCUGCUGCUGGCGUGGCUGCCUCCUACCCAUACUUAAAUAAUUUGUGCAAUCGAAAAGCUUGCAGUAUAUGAAAAUGAAACAGGAAUGGCGUAAUAAUGUUUAUUUAGCGAGACCAAACAUUCAAGAUCCGGGAUUAUACACGGCCAGAGAUCUGGAGAAGCAUACGAUGGUGAUCAAAUAAGUUGGAGAAAUUAUUAGGUUGGCGGAAACAAUAUGAGGCUCCAAUUCACGGUAUAUAUGUGCGUUCUGAUUUAAUAAGGAGCGAGUGGUUAAUACGACUUUAUGUGGCAGACUCGCUCGCUACAUCACCCAUUCUUGUAAUCUUAAUUGUACCACUAAGACGAUGAAGUUGAGCGCGAUCUCAGGAUUAUAACUUUUACUCAAUGUGUUCAUCGUCAAAGACAUAAUGUUCUCCCCCAAAAUUAACAGAAAAUCUGUUUGUAAGUGCAUAUAACUCAAUGUAAAUAUUUCAAAGAGAAGUAAUUAUAAACUUACAUCUCUUUGUCUGCGAAAAUUUGGCUAAUUGAAUUCUUUCAAUUAACUCCUUUUUCUACAAAAAUAAUUUCUGACGAGUCAUUUUAUUAAUAGACUCCUCACACGUUCUGUCCUUAACCGACAUAUUUCUAUUUCGCGUUUGUAAUUUUGAUAUCCGCUAAUUCAAUUUCCUUUUGUCUUACGUAUGAAUUGUCAACUUUUAUUGUUUUUGCAGAAUUUGGAGACUCUUUGCAACAGACGAAAGGAAAAGGAAAUAGAUCUUAUUUGCAAGAUCUGUUUCCUUUUUCUUUCGCGUACUGGAAAAUAAAAUUGUAAUUUGUGUUUGAAAAUGUUUAUAAGUACUUAACUCAAUGUAAAUUUUAAAAAAGAAGUAAUUAUAGACUUA